This 1355-nucleotide ribosomal RNA is filed under the name uncultured prokaryote. RNAcentral describes it as "partial 16S ribosomal RNA". It matches the Rfam family "Bacterial small subunit ribosomal RNA", at positions 29 to 1394 of the family's 1533-position model. The record is from RNAcentral.
ACGAACGCUGGUGGCGUGCCUAACACAUGCAAGUCGAACGAGAAAGCCUUCGGGCAAGUAAAGUGGCGCACGGGUGAGUAACGCGUGGGUAAUCUACCCUUCAGUCUGGGAUAACAGCUCUAACGGGCUGCUAAUACCGGAUACGACAUCAACCUCUGCGGGGGGUGAUGGGAAAGAAUUUCGCUGAAGGAUGAGCCCGCGUGCCAUUAGGUUGUUGGUGGGGUAAUGGCCUACCAAGCCAUAGAUGGCUAGCUGGUCUGAGAGGAUGAUCAGCCACACUGGGACUGAGACACGGCCCAGACUCCUACGGGAGGCAGCAGUGGGGAAUAUUGCGCAAUGGGCGAAAGCCUGACGCAGCAACGCCGCGUGUGUGAAGAAGGUCUUCGGGUCGUAAAGCACUGUUGAGAGGAACGAGCCGGCUAAUGGUCCCGACGGUACCUCUUGAGGAAGCACCGGCUAACUCCGUGCCAGCAGCCGCGGUAAUACGGAGGGUGCAAGCGUUGUUCGGAAUUAUUGGGCGUAAAGCGCGCGCAGGUGGGCCGCUAAGUCUGAUGUGAAAUCCCUCGGCUCAACCGAGGAACUGCAUUGGAUACUGGCGGUCUUGAGUCUCGGAGAGGAAAGCGGAAUUCCCAGUGUAGAGGUGAAAUUCGUAGAUAUUGGGAGGAACACCAGCGGCGAAGGCGGCUUUCUGGACGAUGACUGACGCUGAGGCGCGAAAGCAUGGGUAGCAAACAGGAUUAGAUACCCUGGUAGUCCAUGCCGUAAACGAUGGGUACUAGUUGGUGCGGGUAUUAACCCCUGCGCUGACGAAGCUAACGCAUUAAGUACCCCGCCUGGGGAGUACGGCCGCAAGGCUAAAACUCAAAGGAAUUGACGGGGGCCCGCACAAGCGGUGGAGCAUGUGGAUUAAUUCGACGCAACGCGAAGAACCUUACCCGGCCUUGACAUGUUUACGUACGGGUCCCAAAAGACCCCGACCUUCUUGGAACGUUUACACAGGUGCUGCAUGGCUGUCGUCAGCUCGUGUCGUGAGAUGUUGGGUUAAGUUCCGCAACGAGCGCAACCCCUGUCCUUAGUUACCAGCACGUAAUGGUGGCACUCUAGAGAGACUGCCGGUGUCAAGCCGGAGGAGGGUGGGGACGACGUCAAGUCAUCAUGGCCCUUACGGCCUGGGCUACACCCGUGCUACAAUGGCCGGUACAGUGGGCAGCAAUACCGUGAGGUGGAGCCAAUCUCAAAAAGCCGGUCUCAGUUCGGAUUGGAGUCUGCAACUCGACUCCAUGAAGUUGGAAUCGCUAGUAAUCGCGUAUCAGCUACGCGUGGUGAAUACGUUCCCGGGCCUUGUACACACCGCC